Molecule: ribosomal RNA, 465 nt
Filed under: uncultured Aeromonas sp.
Lineage: Bacteria; Pseudomonadati; Pseudomonadota; Gammaproteobacteria; Aeromonadales; Aeromonadaceae
Description: bacterial SSU rRNA
Rfam family: Bacterial small subunit ribosomal RNA
Source: RNAcentral
CCUACGGGUGGCAGCAGUGGGGAAUAUUGCACAAUGGGGGAAACCCUGAUGCAGCCAUGCCGCGUGUGUGAAGAAGGCCUUCGGGUUGUAAAGCACUUUCAGCGAGGAGGAAAGUUUGGCGCCUAAUACGUGUCAACUGUGACGUUACUCGCAGAAGAAGCACCGGCUAACUCCGUGCCAGCAGCCGCGGUAAUACGGAGGGUGCAAGCGUUAAACGGAAUUACUGGGCGUAAAGCGCACGCAGGCGGGUGGAUAAGUUAGAUAUGAAAGCCCCGGGCUACACCUGGAAAUUGCAUUUAAAACUGUCCAGCUAGAGUCUUGUAGAGGGGGGUAGAAUUCCAGGUGUAGCGGUGAAAUGCGUAGAGAUCUGGAGGAAUACCGGUGGCGAAGACGGCCCCCUGGACAAAGACUGACGCUCAGGUGAGUAAGCGUGAGGAACAAACAGGAUUAGAUACCCCUGUAGUC